RNAcentral lists this ribosomal RNA (538 nucleotides) under uncultured bacterium. RNAcentral describes it as "bacterial SSU rRNA". It matches the Rfam family "Bacterial small subunit ribosomal RNA", at positions 791 to 1336 of the family's 1533-position model. The record is from RNAcentral.
UAGUCUACGCCGUAAACGAUGCAUGCUCGAUGUAGGCCCCCUCGACCUGGGGUCUGUGUCUUAGGUAACCCGUUAAGCAUGCCGCCUGUGUAGUACGGCCGCAAGGCUAAAACNCAAAGGAAUAGACGGGGACCCACACAAGCGGUGGAUUAUGGGGUUUAAUUCGUCAAUAAGCGAGUAACCUUACCCAGACUUGACAUCCUAUUCGUACCUUUUAGAAAUAAUUGGGUCGGUUCGGCCGGAAUAGUGACAGGCGUUGCAUGGUUGCCGUCAGCUCGUGCCUUGAGGUGUUCGGUUAAGUCCGUUAACGAGCGCAACCCUCGUCGUAUGUUGUAUUUUCAUGCGAGACUGCCCUGUACAACGGGGAGGAAGGUGAGGAUGACGUCAAAUCAGCAUGACCCUUAUGUCUGGGGGCUACACCCGUAAUACAAUGGUUGGUGCAAACUGAAACGAAGCCGUAAGGUGGAGCGAAAACAGAAAAAACCAAUCUCAGUUCGGAUUGAAGUCUGCAACUCGACUUCAUGAAGUUGGAAUCGCU